AAAGAGCAGGCCAGCAAGCAGGUAGCAUUCUGGAUGACGGGGCUCAAUCCUGCUAGGGACUCAUAGAUAUGAUGUGGAAUAUUCAUCGGACCAUCUCUCCAUCUGGAAGUCAAGGAGGGGAAAACGCUGACCCACAAGCCACCACCUUCCUUGGCUGACAGCUGACUCUAAUGAGCUCCAUAUGGGAACUGGCUGUGGUUUGGCCUAGUUCACAAUCAAAACUCAUGGGACAAGUGGCCUGAACUGAAGCUGCAACAGAUACAGGAAGUGGAAGUCUCCCCAGGAAGGUAUGGCAUAGGACUGUGGUAUGUAGCACUUUCCUCCUAACUGAAACAUUGCCUCCAGGAGGGAGUGGUGGAGAUUCCUGAGACCCAGAAAGUCUAUAUAAACUUCAUGUGUCUGGGAAAGCCAAAAAAUGCCAGAUUCAUCAGAUUCACCAGAUUUCCUCUCAGGGGUUAUAUAUAGUAGCAAAAACAACUGUUAGGGGGAGGAGGCUCUAACUUCCAAAAAGCAGCAGAGAGGAGACAGCUUGGCCUGCAAGUUUUACAGAGAGCACCAGGGCUUCAUCUCCUACAGCCAUCACCUGUGUCGGAGUAGGAUUUUCCAUGAUGCCGCUCAGCUACAUUGGAGUCAGCCCUGCUCCUGUUCACAACCCCAACAGAAACUCAGUGGUCCAUCAAGUUGGAUUUUGGUGCAAUCAAUACUUUAUCUGUUGUGGAUUACCUUUCUGGGUCUACUUAAUUAGUUUACAGGUCAAUACUGAGCACAAUCCACUAACUUCACAAGCUACUAACAACAAGAAGUAUCACUGGAAAACAGGCAAGCUGAAGGUCUUUCACCACCUGUUUUGUUUCUUGUAACAAAACUGAAAACCACUCUCCCCUGCCUCCUUCCAGUUGCUAGAGAAUGAUACAUCCCCACCACUAAAGACAAGCCAGAGAACUAAGUGAUGAGACCUGAAAACUCCACAGUUCUCUCCAGCUAAAUGGAAACAUUGAAUUGCUUCCUGAACACAAGA
Molecule: non-coding RNA, 1018 nt
Organism: Peromyscus maniculatus bairdii (prairie deer mouse)
Lineage: Eukaryota; Metazoa; Chordata; Mammalia; Rodentia; Cricetidae
Source: RefSeq, a predicted model, not a curated record